RNAcentral lists this unclassified non-coding RNA (150 nucleotides) under uncultured Ascomycota. RNAcentral's name for it is "sequence contains ITS2". The record is from RNAcentral. Lineage: Eukaryota; Fungi; Ascomycota.
CGACCCUCAAGCCUGGCUUGGUAAUGGGCCUUCGUCUCCUGGACGGGUCUGAAAAUCAGUGGCGAUGCUCUCCAGCUUCAAGCGUAGUAAAUCUGUCUUUGUCUUGAAUAGUUGGCUGGUGUGUUAGCCAAGUGAAUCUAUAUUUCUCCU